This 373-nucleotide ribosomal RNA is filed under the name uncultured organism. RNAcentral describes it as "partial 16S ribosomal RNA". It matches the Rfam family "Bacterial small subunit ribosomal RNA", at positions 527 to 896 of the family's 1533-position model. The record is from RNAcentral.
GGAGGGUGCUAGCGUUGUUCGGAAUUAUUGGGCGUAAAGAGCGUGUAGGCGGUUUGGGUAAGUCAGAUGUGAAAGCCCUGGGGCUCAACCCAGGAAGUGCAUUUGAUACUGCCUUACUUGAGUAUGGGAGAGGAGAGUGGAAUUCCCAGUGUAGAGGUGAAAUUCGUAGAUAUUGGGAAGAACACCCGUGGCGAAGGCGACUCUCUGGACCAAUACUGACGCUGAGACGCGUAAGCGUGGGGAGCAAACAGGAUUAGAUACCCUGGUAGUCCACGCCGUAAACGAUGAGAACUAGGUGUAGCGGGUAUUGACCCCUGCUGUGCCGGAGCUAACGCAUUAAGUUCUCCGCCUGGGGAGUACGGCCGCAAGGCUA